GUUCUCAUCCAAUAAGAUAUUUGUCGACUUCACAUCACGAUGGACGAUUGCAUGCUUCGCUCCUGAAUGAAGGUAAUGCAGCCCGCGUGCUGCACCGAGGCAGAUCUCUAGCCUUUUUUUCCAUGGUAGAGGAGGAUUACUGGUGUUGUAGAGAUGGUCACGGAGGGUACCGUGGGUCAUAUAAUCAUACACUAGGAUCAUUUCGUGAUCUUCGUGGCAAUAACCGAUUAGAGAGACCAAGUGACGGUGUCGAAGCUGAGAAAGCAUCUCUAUCUCUGUCUUGAACUCGUUUGCUCCUUGUUCCGAACCUUGGCUUAACCGUUUCACCGCAACAGCAGUGGGAUCAUCGUUAAUGGUUCCUCUGUAUACAUUGCCAAACCC
RNAcentral lists this unclassified non-coding RNA (381 nucleotides) under Hevea brasiliensis (rubber tree). The record is from RNAcentral. Lineage: Eukaryota; Viridiplantae; Streptophyta; Magnoliopsida; Malpighiales; Euphorbiaceae.